GUUCUUUUCAUAUCUUAAUAAGUACGAUUAAAAUAUUUCUCAGUGUACUAUUAGAGAUGCUUAUGUUAAAUAGUAUAUUAGUUGAAAGUCAGUUAGGAUUAGUAGUUAGUGGUGGUUACUUAGAGCUCUUUAUAAGCUCUUGUAAUAUACAGAUUAUUCAAUCAAUCAAGUUUCAUUUUUCUCAAAUAAGUUUUGCUUUCACAGAUCUUUGAGAUUCCAAGAUGGUAUCAGAUGAUUCUCUUCUGUGAAGGUGAAAACAACGAAAUAUCUUUCCAACGAUUUCUG
This 285-nucleotide long non-coding RNA is filed under the name Zostera marina. RNAcentral describes it as "long non-coding RNA (ZMAR_LNC004816)". The record is from RNAcentral. Lineage: Eukaryota; Viridiplantae; Streptophyta; Magnoliopsida; Alismatales; Zosteraceae.